This is a non-coding RNA of Biomphalaria pfeifferi, 278 nucleotides long. The record is from the annotation of a GenBank genome assembly. Lineage: Eukaryota; Metazoa; Mollusca; Gastropoda; Planorbidae.
UUUUCAAGAAAUCUUUCCUUUUCUUUAUUUCAACUGGUCAGUCUAAUGAUGGUCACUCAACAAGACCAGCACUAGGUGCUAGGCUAACUAGCCCAGAUCUCUCUGUUCAGUCAUCAACAGAUAGUUAAAUAUCAAUUGUGUUAAAUAGACACAUAUAUAUAUAUCAAAGACAAACUAGUCAUUAGAAGGUUACAUACCUGCCUAAAUAAAAUCUAAACUAAUACAGUUUGAAAUUAAAAUUGGUGAAGAUUAAAUACACCCCCCCCCCCCCCCCCCCG